GCCAUGAGGGCGGGAACCCUCGUACGCGGAAGUUCAUGAGGGCGGGACCCUCGUACGCGGAAGGUCAUGAGGGCGGGACCCUCGUACGCGGAAGUUCAUGCGGGCGGGACCCUCGUACGUGGAAGGUCAUGAGGGCGGGACCCUCGUACGUGGAAGGUCAUGAGGGCGGAACCCUGGUACAUGAAAUUCGUUCUCUUAUUUAAGAGACAAAGAACGCCCUUGUUUUUUCCACCACGUGAUGGCGCAGACAGAAGACAACCAGCAUCUAUGAACCAGGAAGCCCCCACCAGGCACUGAAUCUGCCCCUGCGUGGAUCUUAGACUUGCAGACUCCAGAACUAACCUUACAAUGUCUCUUCUCCAUUAAGAAAACCUACUUCAACAUCUCCAUUGGUUCUCAACAUAGAGGUCCAAAUUUUGGUCUGGAGCCAGAGACAAUAUAGGAUGAAGUUUGAUUUGUUCCAAAACCCACAGAAAUCUCUAAAAUGGAAGAAUUUUCUUAGAACCAAAAGGCAUGGAAUUGAUGACAUGAAACUGGUAAGUGGGAAACUAAUUGUCAAAUUACUAAUUUUGUUGGCAUUAAUAUCAAUACCAAGACAAGAAGAGCAUGAACUGUUGAGCGAGAGGUUUUUCUUCUAUACCUUCUGCUGCUGCUGGGGAAAUUACUCUGGAAUCAAGUAAAGAAUUAAAUUGGUAUGAUCCAUUUGCUAUU
This 711-nucleotide long non-coding RNA is filed under the name Homo sapiens (human). RNAcentral's name for it is "HSALNT0324835". The record is from RNAcentral. Lineage: Eukaryota; Metazoa; Chordata; Mammalia; Primates; Hominidae.